Molecule: ribosomal RNA, 407 nt
Filed under: uncultured prokaryote
Description: bacterial SSU rRNA
Rfam family: Archaeal small subunit ribosomal RNA
Source: RNAcentral
UAUUACCAGAAGCGACGGCAGGGUGAAGGCCAAGCUAAUGACUUUGCCUGACGAGCCGAGAGGUGGUGCAUGGCGAUCGUCAAGUUCGUGGUGUGAACUAUCAGGUUAAGUCCUGUAACGAACGAGAUCCUCGUUGACAGUUGCUACUGUUCCAGAGAUGGAGCAGGCACUCUGUCGAGACCGCCUACGUUUAAGUAGGAGGAAGGAGAGGGCGACGAUACGUCAGUAUGCCCUGAAUCUCCUGGGCUACACGCGGCAUACAAAGGUCGGUACAAUGAGAUGCAAUGCCGAGAGGCAAGGCCAAACCCCUAAACCGACCCAAGUUCGGAUUGAGGGCUGAAACUCGCCCUCAUGAAGAUGGGAUCCCUAGUAAUCGCUUGUCACUAUCGAGCGGUGAAUACGUCCCU